Molecule: long non-coding RNA, 1532 nt
Filed under: Homo sapiens (human)
Lineage: Eukaryota; Metazoa; Chordata; Mammalia; Primates; Hominidae
Description: HSALNT0046653
Source: RNAcentral
ACAAAAAAAAAAAAAAAAUUAGCCUGCUGGCAUGGUGGCAUGUGCCUGUAGUCCCAGCUGCUCAGGAGGCUGAGGCAGGAGAAUUACUUCAAUCCAGGAGGUGGAGGUUGCAGUGAGCCGAGAUCGUGCCACUGCACUCCAGCCUGGUGACAGAGCAAGAUUCUGUCUCAAAAACAAAAACAAAAACAAACAAACAAAAAACGAGCACAGUAUAGUAUAUGAACAUCAUGACAAAAGUUCAGAGUGCUUUGAGAGUCUAUGGGGGCGGAGAAAAACUUUAAUGAAAUCAAAUGAUAUGUUAGGCAGGCUGAAAGGACUGUGAACCAGGAAGGGGAAGUGCCAUGAGAAAACCUGGAAAAAGCGAAGCUAGAAGUUAUAGUGAAGGAAAAGUGGCAAGAUGUGUGGUUAGAAAGAUGACAAAACCCUCAGUCUGUGCCAGAGUUUGGACUUUAUACCAAGGACAAUAGGAAACCUUUGAAAGAUUGUUUCAUUUCUCUGGCUGCAAAAAGUAAAUAUUUUAAUGAAAGUGUCCUGCUUGGAUCCUCGGAAAUUUUGGGAGAUUUCUCGAUUUAAAAGCAAAUGCAGCUACUACGAAAAGCAGUAUAAGGUUCUUCAAACAAUUAAAAAUAGAACUACAUACCAGCAGUCUCACUGCUGCAUAUCAAUCCAAAAGAAUUAUAAUCAGAAUCUCAGAGAGAUAUUUGUACUCCCAUAUUCAUUGUAGCACUAUUUACAAUAUCCAAGAUAUGAAAACAACCUAAAUAUACGUUGCCAAGUAAAAUGUGUCAUAUACAUAAACUGGAAUAUUAUUCAACCUUAAAAAAGAAGUAAAUCCUGCAAUAUGUGACAAGAAUGAACAUUGAGGACAUUAUACCAAGUUAAAUAAGCCAGUCAUAGAAAAACAAAUACUGCGUGGGACAAUUUAUAUGAGAUACUAAAGUAAUGAAAUUCAUAGAAGCACAGAGUAGAAUGGUGACUGCCAGGGACUAGGGGCUUGGGGAAAUGGGAAGUUGCUAAUCGACAGGUACAAAGUUUCAUUUAUGGAAGAUGAAUAAAUUCUAAAGUUAAUAAUAAUGUAUUAUGCACUUAAAAACCUCUUGAGGAUACAUCUCAUGUUGUGUUCUUACUACAAUAAAAUAAAAUAAACCAAAUUUUAACUUGAGUUCUCUCUCACAUCUUCUUUAGGCAGGCCUGCUAGCCAUAACUUCUCUGAUACUUGCUCCUGACAUCUUCCUGAAGUUUAAGAAGGCAGGUAAAGGCAUUGUAGACUGAACGUUUCAGAUGGCUUCAAACUACUUAAUAAGAGCCAUCAUUUUUAAGUAACCCCCUAAAUAACAGGUUUUAGAGUCUGAUUAGUUGAGAUGCAAAGUUUAUUCACACGAGCCAUGAGGGAAGAGAGAAAAGCAGAAUCCUAAAGUGGAAGUGAAAACUAUAAUACACCCUCAGUUCCAGCAGAAGCUCAAAGAUAGUAAAUCUUGCCACAAGUCAAUGGCCAAGUCAAGACUAGAAUUACUUUCUCAAGUCAUCCUUUU